AAUAGAUACCCUGGUAGUCCACGCCGUAAACGAUGUGCACUAGAUCGAGGAGGCUCUGACGCCGUUCUCGGUCGAAGGGAAAUUGCUUAGUGCACCGCCUGGGGAGUACGGUCGCAAGGCUAAAACUCAAAGGAAUUGACGGGGGCUCACACAAGCGGUGGAGCAUGUGGCUCAAUUCGAAGCAACGCGAAGAACCUUACCUGGGUUUGACAUGCACGGAUUAACUCCUGGAAACCAGGAGCCACACCCGCAAGGGUGGAACGUGCACAGGUGCUGCAUGGCUGUCGUCAGCUCGUGCUGUGAAGUGUCGGGUUAAGUCCCUUAACGAGCGAAACCCCUGUCGCUAGUUGCUAACAGGUAAUGCUGAGGACUCUAGCGAGACUGCCGGUGUCAAAUCGGACGAAGGUGGGGAUGACGUCAAGUCCUCAUGGCCUUUAUGCCCAGGGCUGCACACGUGCUACAAUGGCGUAUACAGAGCGACGCAAGACCGCAAGGUGGAGCAAAUCGCUAAAGUACGCCCC
Molecule: ribosomal RNA, 521 nt
Filed under: uncultured bacterium
Lineage: Bacteria
Description: bacterial SSU rRNA
Rfam family: Bacterial small subunit ribosomal RNA
Source: RNAcentral